AUUUAAAUACAUAAGAUGGUCUCUGUUUAAAGAAACAUGAAAAACUUAGUCUUGUGUAUGGUUUUGUCCAAAUCACAGCUGCUUUGUAGUUUUGAGCAGCAUAGUAGCAGAAUGAAGAUUUCUAGCUUCAGAUCGUCAAAAUUCUUUUCAUCAACCAGUCCCAGAUGAGGUUAACAAUGCCCUGCCUCUCUCAGCUAGCUUCAAGCUCUUACUAAAUUGAUGUGCACUCUGACAAAAUAAAUAAGAAGAACACGAUCCAAAUCUUGUGUUAGUUUCUGUAUGCCUUGAUCUAAUAAAUCAAGCACAAGAAUACUGCAGUUCAAAUGCUGGUUAAUGUUAGCUCUAACAGUUUUCACAUUUCAGAAUCAUACUAUUUACCAAUGCAAAAAUGAUAAGCAGGAGGACAUGUUUUUCUCAAUUAUUGAAGUACACAUAACAAACUAUUUUCAGCACAAAAUACAAUUUUCCAUCUAAACAGUAUAUGGGGCAUUGAAUGACUAGAAGUUUCAUAUAAAGGCUGGAUUUUUUUAUUUUAGCAAGAAGAGUGUCAAACAUGUGUUCAUGAUUGAAGAGAUUGAAUAUCCCUAUGAUUCACCAUUUGUUAACAAAUGGCAGAAAAGUGAAGCCAGCAGGCCCAGCACACACCCAUUCGAAAUUGAAAAAUGCAAAUCAUUGUUCCUUACAUCAAUAUGAUAGAAUGUUUGGAGCUUAAAUCAUUAAAAAUCAAAUGAUUACAAACAGAGGAUUAUUCUAAAAGUAUUUUAGAACCAAGAAAAUUGCAAACAUAGCUAGCAAGUAUAUAGCUACAAAAAGGUAUUCCACUUCAGGUUAAUAAUGAUUGCAGGCGAGAAGUUUUAGGAUAAAUAGUAAACUCAUUGCAAAGAACCAAAAAAAAUGGGGAGCCGAAUCUCCAGUCUAGGAACAUAUACAUGGGAGCAUUAAAAAAUGACAAUAAGAGUUAAUAUCUAAACUAUAACUUACCAAUAAACACUAAAGAUCCCUGAAAAUGUAGAGCAAGAUAAACUACAUACCACUAAAACAGACCUAUAAAAUCCACACUUGAUACUAGAUGCUUAUCUAAACCCUCAAAAAUCCACAAUUCUUAUCAAGCCAUGCACCCAGAGGCACAUUUGAACUAUCAUCCACAUAAGAAAAUCAAACCUCUUCCUUCAAUUCUCAUCCGAUUUGAAUACAAGUCCAUCCACGUUUGUAUGACCCAACAAAUAUCCAAAACAGAAAGAAAAUGAAGAAGAAAAUGAAGCAUAGACCUUCAACACAAUUGGAUUGAGAAGAGGACGAGAAAUGAUGUACAAAAUCAAUGGUUUCCCCAUCCUAUUUCAAAUAUAACGCAGAGUAAUC
RNAcentral lists this long non-coding RNA (1359 nucleotides) under Citrus sinensis (sweet orange). RNAcentral describes it as "long non-coding RNA (CSIN_LNC004140)". The record is from RNAcentral. Lineage: Eukaryota; Viridiplantae; Streptophyta; Magnoliopsida; Sapindales; Rutaceae.